Molecule: ribosomal RNA, 239 nt
Filed under: uncultured bacterium
Lineage: Bacteria
Description: partial 16S ribosomal RNA
Rfam family: Bacterial small subunit ribosomal RNA
Source: RNAcentral
AGCGGCGGACGGGUGAGUAACGCGUGGGUAACCUGCCUCAUACAGGGGGAUAACAGUUAGAAAUGGCUGCUAAUACCGCAUAAGACCACAGUACUGCAUGGUACAGUGGUAAAAACUCCGGUGUAUGAGAUGGACCCGCGUCUGAUUAGGUAGUUGGUGGGGUAACGGCCUACCAAGCCGACGAUCAGUAGCCGACCUGAGAGGGUGACCGGCCACAUUGGGACUGAGACACGGCCCAA